Molecule: ribosomal RNA, 163 nt
Filed under: Euphorbia condylocarpa
Lineage: Eukaryota; Viridiplantae; Streptophyta; Magnoliopsida; Malpighiales; Euphorbiaceae
Description: 5.8S ribosomal RNA
Rfam family: 5.8S ribosomal RNA
About the family: 5.8S ribosomal RNA (5.8S rRNA) is a component of the large subunit of the eukaryotic ribosome.
Source: RNAcentral
UAAACGACUCUCGCAACGGAUAUCUCGGCUCUCGCAUCGAUGAAGAACGCAGCGAAAUGCGAUACUUGGUGUGAAUUGCAGGAUCCCGCGAACCAUCGAGUCUUUGAACGCAAGUUGCGCCCGAAGCCUUUUGGCCGAGGGCACGUCUGCCUGGGUGUCACUC